GGGAGGUGUGACGUAAAGAGGGGACACAAACGCAGGUGCUUAUCUCUAGGCAGUCAAAGGCACUGGAUGUCAUAUCAUGGGAACUACCUUUCAAAGACACAGCUUUAGUGCACAGUUCAGCACACAAGGGAGGAGAAACAUAUAAGUUUUGGAAACAAAAAUAAAGUCUAGCUCAGCUUUGUGUACUACAAUUCUGACAGAGAAAACAACCUCAAACUUCUGAUCCCAGCACUUUGAAACGUCAGUUGCUUCUUGGAGUGUGGACAAGGGUGACGCAUAGUUUACAUUCCAUUAGGGAGAAUGAAUUUCAGGAUUAUCUAUUAAAUCAGGCAAGGCAUCUUGGGCUGAGUGACGAAUUUGGUCCUUUGGAAUCUGCACAUAUUUUCACCUGGAAACACGCAAAGGUGGGAUAACUUAUUUAUAAAAAUUAAUUUGAGCCAAAAUAUAUCUAUUAGUAGUAUAAUACUAUGUGGUUUCACGU
This 481-nucleotide long non-coding RNA is filed under the name Bubo bubo (Eurasian eagle-owl). Its description in RNAcentral is "lncRNA (ENSBOBG00000014311.1)". The record is from RNAcentral. Lineage: Eukaryota; Metazoa; Chordata; Aves; Strigiformes; Strigidae.